CAGCCGCCGCGGUAAUACGUAGGUCCCGAGCGUUGUCCGGAUUUAUUGGGCGUAAAGCGAGCGCAGGCGGUUAGAUAAGUCUGAAGUUAAAGGCUGUGGCUUAACCAUAGUACGCUUUGGAAACUGUUUAACUUGAGUGCAAGAGGGGAGAGUGGAAUUCCAUGUGUAGCGGUGAAAUGCGUAGAUAUAUGGAGGAACGCCGGUGGCGAAAGCGGCUCUCUGGUCUGUAACUGACGCUGAGGCUCGAAAGCGUGGGGAGCAAACAGGAUUAGAUACCCCCGUAGUCCCUGUCUCUUAUACA
RNAcentral lists this ribosomal RNA (301 nucleotides) under uncultured bacterium. Its description in RNAcentral is "partial 16S ribosomal RNA". It matches the Rfam family "Bacterial small subunit ribosomal RNA", at positions 509 to 808 of the family's 1533-position model. The record is from RNAcentral.